Carya illinoinensis is the source of this 3686-nucleotide long non-coding RNA. RefSeq lists it as uncharacterized. Lineage: Eukaryota; Viridiplantae; Streptophyta; Magnoliopsida; Fagales; Juglandaceae. The record is from RefSeq and is a predicted model, not a curated record. The transcript has 3 exons.
UACUUUUUCUUUUGAUUUUUCAUUAAUUCUCGUUUCGAGACUUCAACUAAUUGAUGCGUUCUUUCAAAAUAAAAAUAAAAAAAACUAAUUGAUGCGUUAAUGGUGGACAUUCUUAAGUUUUAAUCACUUUUAGCUCGCUAGUCUAUAUGGCACAUUUUUCCUGAGUUUUACCCUUGCCCAUUUUUUUUUAUUCUUUUGUCAAGUGGGUAAUCUUGUUAGACUUUCUUGAUUUCGAUCGGUGUUUGUUCUCUGUUGUUUUUUCGUGUUUUUAUUGAGUUUCAUUGUAUCCGUUUGAUUUGUGAACUAAACGAUGUCAUUUUGACGGACUCACCAGGUUUGAAUUAGUUUUAGACCUCAAUUAUCAAAUGCUUUUUCUUUUUCUUUUUCUUUUUUCUUUUCUUCGGUUAUACCCGAACUGAUACUUGAGGCAAAUGAUAUAAUUUUGAUGGAUCUAGUUGGGAGUUUUGUUCGUACCCUUUUAUUAGAUUGGGAUCUUGUCUGCAAUUAUUAUCUCUGUUAUGGGGUUUUUGAGAUCAGAUUAUUAUUCUCAUUGAGAUUUUUAAGCAUAAUCUUCUCGAGUUGAGAGAGCUAUACGUAUCAUUUAGAUUGGGCGAACUAGUGUCUGGGCCAAUGCCAUUUGAUCCCGGUAUAAGCCCUCCAUUUGAUGCAUUUUCUUUUCGAGUUUCACCCAUGGCCAUUUGAUCUCUGGGUAAUUGGGGACUUGAUGAGAACUAGUGGAGCUCUCAAUUCGAUGCAUUUUUGUUUUCGAGUUUCGUCCACGGCCAUUUGAUUCUCUGGGUGAUAAUAGUUGUAAUAAUAGUUGUGUCCUUGAUGAGAAUUAUUGGAUCAUAACUUGAUUCAGGUUACAAGUUGAUACAAAGAAUUGUCCUUUGCAGCCAAGUGGUAUCUCCGUCGACCGUUUAGAAGGUACAUCUAAAGCUUCUCCCGAGGUUUGAUUUCAAGUGCCUUCCGUUGAUAAAAAUGGAGGGGCCCUGGAGAAAAGCAGAUGAUUGUUUGCUUUGGGGGAUGUUGAUUUAUUUUGUGCACUGUUGGUGGAGUUUCGCUAGCAGAAGCACCUGCUUUUAUAAGAAGUCUGCUGGUGGAGCGCCUGCUAAAAUUGCUGUUGGGAUAGCAAGACGAGGAGGCUCAGCAGCUUUCAUUGGCAAGGUGCUUUUCUAACUUUCCAGGGGCAUCUUUCUGAGCCUACUGUCUCGUUACAAAAAUUCUAUAUAUGUACAGUCACUUUUACGUACUCUUUUGUGCACUUUACUAAUGUGAUUGAUUGUGUUAAAAAAAAUUAAUGCAGCCAAUCACAUUAGUGGAGUGUGCAGAAAGUAUUCAAAAGUGACUGUAUAUAGCAUUACUCAUCUCGUUAAUAGCUUUAUGUUAAUCAUACCAAGAUCUUGUCGCAUGGGCUAUUUCAUUUUUCCCCUAAUCGUUAUGAGAGACAGCAGGUGUUAAAUAUUUCCUUUUGGUAGUGGGGGAAAAUGCAUUAUAUUGAUUUAUAUUGGAUGAAUUCACAUGAUUUUUUCAAUUUAUUCAUUUUAUAAAUAUCACGUCUCCAUUCAUUACAUAUAUAUAUACUCGUGCACUCAAUUUUGAGGUCCAUGGUUCAAAUGUUUGAUGAAUGCCUAACCGUGCUGAAUUUAUGUCUUCAAUACAAACAAGUAUAUAUAUCUGCUAACCUAUGUUGGCACCCACUGCACACCCUGUUUUCCCCUCAUCCAUGCCUAAUAUUAUAUUGAUGUAUUAUAUAGCUCUGUACUCGUCAUCAUGAAAAUGAGUUUGCCGGCCGGGGUGGCAAAUAGAAUUGAAAGGAUUUUUCAGAAUUUCUUAUGAGAAGGUAAAUUGGGGAAGAAAGAAAGUUUCACUUAGUAAGUUGGAAUAAGGUUGGUCAACUGAUUUCUUGUAUAAAUAGAGGUGCUUUCCUCCUUUAAAAUUAAAUUAAAAAAAUAAAAAUAAAAUAAAAUAAAAUAAUGAUUUCUUGUGGAGGUUUGGGAGUGCAAAAUUUGAGGCUUUUUAAUAAAGCUAUUCUUGGGAAAAAGUUUUGGAGAUAUCAUAUUGAGAGAGAUGCAUUAUGGAAAAAUGUUGUUGACGUUAAAUAUGGGAGGAUGUGGGGGAGUUGGUGUUCUAAUGAAGUAAGAGGAGUUUAUGGGGUGGGUUUGUGGAAGUCCAUUCAGAUGGGUUGGGGAGUUCGUCAAUCAUGUAAAAUUCAAGGUGGGGGACGGGGCAAUGAUUCAUUUUUGGCAUGAUAUUUGGUAUGGAGAUUCACCUCUCAAACCCUUUCCUUUUUGGGAUUGCUAGGGAUUAAGAUGCUGCAGUGGCUGAUUCCUUGUCUUUUGUGAAUAAUAAUCUUCAAUGGAGUGUUGAUUUUGUCAGAAAUGUUCAUGACAGCUGGGAAGUAAAAGUAGUCUAUGAUUUUUUUUGGCAGAUUAUGUGAUUUGAAGAUUGUUCAGGGAAGGGAGGAUGGUUUGCUGUGGAUUCAUGUAGGAAAUUCCAGAUUUUCAGUUAGUUCCUUUUAUAAGAUACUAACCUGUCAUUAUGUCUAUGAUUACCCUAGAAAUGCAUUUGGAGAGUUAUUUUCAGUUUUUUCUUUAGUCAUUUUCAGUUUCUAGGGUGUAAGUAGGUUUUUCCUUUUGUAUACUUUCUGUGUACUUGUGUUAUGCCUACUCUUGGUAAUAAAAUAUCUUAUUAAUUAUCAAAACAAAAAUAUGAGUUUGGUUACACGUUGGCUGACAUUCUUAAACGUAAUCAUGUUGAUAAUUCUGGCGUGUGUUUUGAGUCUUGACCUGCGUGUAAGGAUUGCAUUAGCAUUUGUUACGCUGAGAAGUAAUGACGAGUGUGAAUUCAUGUUUUAUCGCAAUCCAAGUGUCGAUGCUUCUUCAAGAAAUUGAAAUCAAUGCAAACUUAAUUAAGAAGGUCUAACACUAACAUUCUAGUUAUAAAAAGUAUGUGAAAUGGAAAUGAAUCCCAUUGUUGUCACACCUCUUGGUUGUUGAAUUCAACUGAUUGUGAUUGCUAUAUGGCGUACUGACAUCAAUGAAUUGGGAAGCUAGGUGUUUGAUUCACCUCAAACUAUCAAUUAAGAACAGGUAUAGUUGAUUUCAUGAGCUAUAUUUUCUUGUUUCAACUUAUAAAAGUAUGUCUGGAUGAAAAAAUUUAAAUUGAGGAAUGAAAAAAGUGCGGCUUUCAUGGAAUAGUUUGUGUUCAACUUGAAAAAAUUACCUGUUUGCUAAUUUUCAAAAGCAAGUUCAAGUUGCUUAUUCCAAGUAACGUCAAAUGGAUGGGCCGAGGAAGAAUUUCGGAUGGAAAAUGUCUCUGACUACCUGGCCGGCAAGCAUUUUUCAUUAUGGAUCAAGUAGUUUGGUUGAGAAGCGUUGGAGGAGGUAUGCUCAUCUUGCUGCCAUGGACGUUGCCAAGAAUUCUGGUUGUGUUCUACCUUAGGACCCGAGGCUGCCUCUCUAGCUAUCUGCAGAGGCUGCUCAAAAAGGGAUUGUGGGCAUAUGGAACCAAUCUGACAUUACUAGGGUAUGCUUUUGUAGGCGGAAUCCUGAACAUUUUGGCUUCACUUCAGAGCCAAAUCUGUAUAAAGUACCAUUCAAUAUUUCUUUCACUUUUGAACAGGAAAAAUGUUUUAGUCACAAAAUACUCUCACAAAAAUAAAUUUAUAAACUAAUAUGGGUUGA